CACAAAAGAAUAAGAAAAUAUAUGAGAAGUUUUAUAAUCAAAAUUUAGUGCAUUAUUAUUGCAUAGAAUAAGGAGGUGCUACAUCAGCACAACACAAUGCAGGCUGAAUUAGGAGCAACCUAAACCCUCAUAGAUACAUAGAGAUAGAUAGAUAAAUAGAUGCCAAUGUAAUAUGUUUUACAUAAUUUUAUUUGUGUUUAGACAAUACAAAAGUUGUAUGUGUACUAUAAUAGUUUGUCCUGCGUUGUCCUUCUUUCCCUAUCAUAGAAAUCAAAAUGUCAAAAAGUUAUAAAUUAAAUAUGAGAGAAAAAAUAAUAACAGUAACAAUAGUACGUAUGACAUUCCAAUAAAAUCACAUGCUUUAAAAAAUAAAUAUAGUUUUCAACUUGCUUGUUAAGUGCUGUAAACUUUAUCUUAAUUAAAUUAAUAAAAAAAUGUGUUAAAAAAAAUCAUAAAAUUUCAGUGUUAUUAAAAAGGUUCAUGUUGACUUCUAUUAGAUACAAAUCUCUUUCAAAAAAAUACAUAAAAUGUUGACUUCUAUUGAAUUUAACACUAUGGAUCAAAAUGUUGAUGAAAAACCUUUUGUAGACUAAAAGUUGAAGAAGAAAUUUGUCGGCAUUAAAAAACAUAGAAAUAUAUUUAACCUUCAUGCAUACAUUGAUUAAAUAUAUAUGGAAAAGAGAAAAUUAUUAUUAAUAAUAGUGAAACUAUUAAACACUUGUAAAUAGAAUAACAAAAGUUAAUAUGUGACUAAUAGGCAUAUGAUAAACAACUAAUUAAUAUUGGAAUGUUGUUCUUAAAAGUUGGACAUAUAAUUUUUCAAAAGUCAUAUAGUUGUAUUUUAAAAUGUAAUAAUUCUACUUUUAAAUUUCUUAACAUAUGUUUUUAAAACACACGUUAACAAAUCUAUAAAAUUAUAGGCGAAACAAGAUAAAUUUUCAACUAACCUAUUAAUUGCAAUAACAAUUAUUAGAAAUACAUUUCCCAACUUUCGGAAGGUGGCAAAAAUUAUCUGGACAGUCAUUAUCAUUCUUGCAAUUACGAAUUCCUGCAAUGUAAAAAAUAUAUAAAAGAAUGUCAAUAAAAGAUGAUGAUUUUUGUUUUGUUCCAAUGAUGAUUUUUUUUUUUAAAAAAGAGAAGAAAACAUUAUUAUAUUAAUACAAUUGCAUUAGUGAAUACUAGGUAUUUUACAAAUGAUUUAAGUUGAAUUUAAAUUGUCUCUUGUACAAAGUCAAACUGUAACUACAAAUUGUUGACACCUCUUAGACUAAAAGAUUAUGCAAUUUUGUGUAUAAGGUAAAUUAAAUAAGAAAAAGAAACAGAAAAGAGGAUUAAUUACCACCACCGUAGAAGCUGGUUACAACAUGAAAUAGUGAAAGAAAAAGUGUUAUCACAUAAACAAACUUUAAAACUGCAGCCAUGUUUCUCCUCCUUUGCAUGUAGUAUAGAAACCAAUUUAUUUAUAAUGUAAAAACCAUCAUACUCUUAUUAUACUUCAAUUAAAAAAAAAUAAUUAUUACUUUUUUAC
This 1528-nucleotide long non-coding RNA is filed under the name Trifolium pratense (red clover). RNAcentral's name for it is "long non-coding RNA (TPRA_LNC010291)". The record is from RNAcentral. Lineage: Eukaryota; Viridiplantae; Streptophyta; Magnoliopsida; Fabales; Fabaceae.